RNAcentral lists this ribosomal RNA (438 nucleotides) under uncultured bacterium. RNAcentral's name for it is "partial 16S ribosomal RNA". It matches the Rfam family "Bacterial small subunit ribosomal RNA", at positions 339 to 795 of the family's 1533-position model. The record is from RNAcentral.
CUACGGGACGCUGCAGUGAGGAAUAUUGCACAAUGGAGGAAACUCUGAUGCAGCAACGCCGCGUGGAGGAUGACGCAUUUCGGUGUGUAAACUCCUUUUAUAUGUCAAGAAAAUGACGGUAGCAUAUGAAUAAGCACCGGCUAACUCCGUGCCAGCAGCCGCGGUAAUACGGAGGGUGCAAGCGUUACUCGGAAUCACUGGGCGUAAAGGACGCGUAGGCGGGAUAUCAAGUCAGGUGUGAAAUCCUACAGCUUAACUGUAGAACUGCACUUGAAACUGGUAACCUAGAGUAUAGGAGGGGAGAUGGAAUUAGUGGUGUAGGGGUAAAAUCCGUAGAUAUCACUAGGAAUACCUAAAGCGAAGGCGAUCUCCUGGAACAUAACUGACGCUAAGGCGUGAAAGCGUGGGGAGCAAACAGGAUUAGAUACCCGGGUAGUC